Molecule: ribosomal RNA, 492 nt
Filed under: uncultured bacterium
Lineage: Bacteria
Description: partial 16S ribosomal RNA
Rfam family: Bacterial small subunit ribosomal RNA
Source: RNAcentral
AGUGAACGCUGGCGGUAGGCCUAACACAUGCAAGUCGAACGGCAGCACAGUAAGAGCUUGCUCUUACGGGUGGCGAGUGGCGGACGGGCGAGGAAUACAUCGGAAUCUACUUUUUCGUGGGGGAUAACGUAGGGAAACUUACGCUAAUACCGCAUACGACCUACGGGUGAAAGCAGUGGAUCUUCGGACCUUGCGCGAUUGAAUGAGCCGAUGUCGGAUUAGCUAGUUGGCGGGGUAAAGGCCCACCAAGGCGACGAUCCGUAGCUGGUCUGAGAGGAUGAUCAGCCACACUGGAACUGAGACACGGUCCAGACGCCUACGGGAGGCAGCAGUGGGGAAUAUUGGACAAUGGGCGCAAGCCUGAUCCAGCCAUACCGCGUGGGUGAAGAAGGCCUUCGGGUUGUAAAGCCCUUCUGUUGGGAAAGAAAAGCAUCAGGUUAAUACCCCGCUGUUCUGACGGUACCCAAAGAAUAAGCACCGGCUAACUUCGUG